RNAcentral lists this small RNA (158 nucleotides) under Phytobacter massiliensis. RNAcentral describes it as "SraG RNA". It matches the Rfam family "SraG RNA". Rfam says of the family: This RNA was discovered in E. coli during a large scale screen. Evidence was found for specific cleavage of this RNA. Lineage: Bacteria; Pseudomonadati; Pseudomonadota; Gammaproteobacteria; Enterobacterales; Enterobacteriaceae. The record is from RNAcentral.
UUGCAUCCUCGCGACUAAUGACAAUCCUAACCCAGCCGGGUAAAGCCUCUCAUUAGCCGCGCGAACCUCUGCAACAGAAGAUCAUUCAUAACAACAAUACAUUAUUGUACUGUUAAUUGCUGCCGCCUGGUUGAAAAAAGGGGCCUUACGGCCCCUUU